UUGAACGCUGGCGGCAUGCCUUACACCUGCAAGUCGCACGGCAGCACGGGUGCUUGCACCUGGUGGCGAGUGGCGAACGGGUGAGUAAUACAUCGGAACAUGUCCUGUAGUGGGGGAUAGCCCGGCGAGAGCCGGAUUAAUACCGCAUACGAUCUACGGAUGAAAGCGGGGGACCUUCGGGCCUCGCGCUAUAGGGUUGGCCGAUGGCUGAUUAGCUAGUUGGUGGGGUAAAGGCCUACCAAGGCGACGAUCAGUAGCUGGUCUGAGAGGACGACCAGCCACACUGGGACUGAGACACGGCCCAGACUCCUACGGGAGGCAGCAGUGGGGAAUUUUGGACAAUGGGCGAAAGCCUGAUCCAGCAAUGCCGCGUGUGUGAAGAAGGCCUUCGGGUUGUAAAGCACUUUUGUCCGGAAAGAAAUCCUUGGCUCUAAUACAGUCGGGGGAUGACGGUACCGGAAGAAUAAGCACCGGCUAACUACGUG
RNAcentral lists this ribosomal RNA (485 nucleotides) under uncultured bacterium. Its description in RNAcentral is "partial 16S ribosomal RNA". It matches the Rfam family "Bacterial small subunit ribosomal RNA", at positions 30 to 507 of the family's 1533-position model. The record is from RNAcentral.